Bos taurus (domestic cattle) is the source of this 72-nucleotide non-coding RNA. The record is from Rfam. Lineage: Eukaryota; Metazoa; Chordata; Mammalia; Artiodactyla; Bovidae.
UCCCUGGUGGCUCAGAUGGUAAAGCGUCUGCCUGCAAUGCGGGUGACCCAGGUUCAAUCCCUGGGUUGGGAA